GAACAAUGCUGCACAUCAUUUGUGGAAACGGAAGAGUUAGAGGCAGAACAGGAGGAACAAUCAUGAACAUCAUUACUUGAAAUGGAAGAGUUAGAGGCAGAACAGUCAUUUCACCCAAGGAGGCAUGCAUAUGGAUUUAGGCUGUGAAAAAGAACCCCAAACAAAAUGGCGGCUGGUGAAUUAGAUAAAGUUUCUGAGUGUAGGAUCUGAACGGAGAAUAGGAAUACUGCAUCCCAUCUGACCCUGCAGGAAGAAAGACCUCUGGCAAAGACAAGAACAAAGGAAGGAGAACAUUUCUGGAAAUUUAUGAAAUCUUCAGUGUGUUUGGACACAGGAGCUAUGAUAUCCAUCCAUUCUGGUUGCCUCGGGAUCGAUUCUUGUGAAUAUAGAAAAUUGGAAAUUCAAAUGUUGGUUAUUUUACACUUUAAAAGUGCUUACUGCUUAGUCCAAUAUCUUGAUAAAUCUAGUCUUUUGUGAUUUUUCAGGCAAAUUAAAUCUCCAACACAUGUAUACAUUUUUGAUAAAUUACCUCAAGGACCCUAUAUUUUUUCAAAAGCAAUAUAUAUCUGAAGAAAAUAAAACCAUUUUUGU
This is a long non-coding RNA of Ostrea edulis (European flat oyster), 591 nucleotides long. RefSeq lists it as uncharacterized. The record is from RefSeq and is a predicted model, not a curated record. NCBI's taxonomy places the organism in Eukaryota, Metazoa, Mollusca, Bivalvia, Ostreida, Ostreidae. The transcript is spliced from 4 exons.